GUCGCGAUGGCCGAGCGGUUAAGGCGUUUGACUAGAAAUCAAAUGGGGUCUUCCCGCGCAGGUUCGAAUCCUGCUCGCGACG
RNAcentral lists this transfer RNA (82 nucleotides) under Actinia tenebrosa (Australian red waratah sea anemone). RNAcentral's name for it is "tRNA-Ser". It matches the Rfam family "tRNA". Rfam says of the family: Transfer RNA (tRNA) molecules are approximately 80 nucleotides in length. Their secondary structure includes four short double-helical elements and three loops (D, anti-codon, and T loops). Further hydrogen bonds mediate the characteristic L-shaped molecular structure. tRNAs have two regions of fundamental functional importance: the anti-codon, which is responsible for specific mRNA codon recognition, and the 3' end, to which the tRNAs corresponding amino acid is attached (by aminoacyl-tRNA synthetases). tRNAs cope with the degeneracy of the genetic code in two manners: having more than one tRNA (with a specific anti-codon) for a particular amino acid; and 'wobble' base-pairing, i.e. permitting non-standard base-pairing at the 3rd anti-codon position. The record is from Rfam by way of RNAcentral. Lineage: Eukaryota; Metazoa; Cnidaria; Anthozoa; Actiniaria; Actiniidae.